RNAcentral lists this transfer RNA (73 nucleotides) under Candidatus Nomurabacteria bacterium. Its description in RNAcentral is "tRNA-Val". It matches the Rfam family "tRNA". From Rfam's summary of the family: Transfer RNA (tRNA) molecules are approximately 80 nucleotides in length. Their secondary structure includes four short double-helical elements and three loops (D, anti-codon, and T loops). RNAcentral also lists the same sequence under 2 other names. Lineage: Bacteria; Candidatus Nomuraibacteriota. The record is from RNAcentral.
GGGAGAUUAGCUCAGUUGGUAGAGCAACUCGUUUACACCGAGAAGGUCAGAGGUUCGAGUCCUCUAUCUCCCA